AUACGGAGGGUGCGAGCGUUAAUCGGAAUUACUGGGCGUAAAGCGCGCGUAGGCGGUUUGGUCAGUCGGAUGUGAAAGCCCUAGGCUCAACCUGGGAAUGGCAUUCGAUACUGCCUGACUAGAGUAUGGUAGAGGGAAGUGGAAUUUCCGGUGUAGCGGUGAAAUGCGUAGAUAUCGGAAGGAACACCAGUGGCGAAGGCGACUUCCUGGGCCAAUACUGACGCUGAGGUGCGAAAGCGUGGGGAGCAAACAGGAUUAGAAACCCGGGUAGUCC
This 274-nucleotide ribosomal RNA is filed under the name uncultured bacterium. RNAcentral describes it as "partial 16S ribosomal RNA". It matches the Rfam family "Bacterial small subunit ribosomal RNA", at positions 523 to 796 of the family's 1533-position model. The record is from RNAcentral.